UGCUGCGCAGCUACCAUGCAGUCGAGCGGUAGCACAGAGAGCUUGCUCUCGGGUGACGAGCGGCGGACGGGUGAGUAAUGUCUGGGAAACUGCCUGAUGGAGGGGGAUAACUACUGGAAACGGUAGCUAAUACCGCAUAACGUCGCAAGACCAAAGUGGGGGACCUUCGGGCCUCAUGCCAUCAGAUGUGCCCAGAUGGGAUUAGCUGGUAGGUGGGGUAACGGCUCACCUAGGCGACGAUCCCUAGCUGGUCUGAGAGGAUGACCAGCCACACUGGAACUGAGACACGGUCCAGACUCCUACGGGAGGCAGCAGUGGGGAAUAUUGCACAAUGGGCGCAAGCCUGAUGCAGCCAUGCCGCGUGUGUGAAGAAGGCCUUCGGGUUGUAAAGCACUUUCAGCGGGGAGGAAGGCGGUGAGGUUAAUAACCUCAUCGAUUGACGUUACCCGCAGAAGAAGCACCGGCUAACUCCGUGCCAGCAGCCGCGGUAAUACGGAGGGUGCAAGCGUUAAUCGGAAUUACUGGGCGUAAAGCGCACGCAGGCGGUCUGUCAAGUCGGAUGUGAAAUCCCCGGGCUCAACCUGGGAACUGCAUUCGAAACUGGCAGGCUAGAGUCUUGUAGAGGGGGGUAGAAUUCCAGGUGUAGCGGUGAAAUGCGUAGAGAUCUGGAGGAAUACCGGUGGCGAAGGCGGCCCCCUGGACAAAGACUGACGCUCAGGUGCGAAAGCGUGGGGAGCAAACAGGAUUAGAUACCCUGGUAGUCCACGCUGUAAACGAUGUCGAUUUGGAGGUUGUGCCCUUGAGGCGUGGCUUCCGGAGCUAACGCGUUAAAUCGACCGCCUGGGGAGUACGGCCGCAAGGUUAAAACUCAAAUGAAUUGACGGGGGCCCGCACAAGCGGUGGAGCAUGUGGUUUAAUUCGAUGCAACGCGAAGAACCCUUACCUGGUCUUGACAUCCACAGAACUUACCAGAGAUGCAUUGGUGCCUUCGGGAACUGUGAGACAGUGCUGCAUGGCUGUCGUCAGCUCGUGUGUGAAAUGUUGGGUAAGUCCCGCAACGAGCGCACCCUUAUCCUUGUUGCCAGCGGUUCAGGCCGGGACUCAG
This 1105-nucleotide ribosomal RNA is filed under the name Klebsiella sp. RNAcentral's name for it is "bacterial SSU rRNA". It matches the Rfam family "Bacterial small subunit ribosomal RNA", at positions 38 to 1142 of the family's 1533-position model. Lineage: Bacteria; Pseudomonadati; Pseudomonadota; Gammaproteobacteria; Enterobacterales; Enterobacteriaceae. The record is from RNAcentral.